Molecule: long non-coding RNA, 786 nt
Organism: Mustela lutreola (European mink)
Lineage: Eukaryota; Metazoa; Chordata; Mammalia; Carnivora; Mustelidae
Exons: 4
Source: RefSeq, a predicted model, not a curated record
AAACACAGCCGCCGCCACUGCCCGAAUGCACCACAAAGAAGGCAGGACCCUGGAGAGUUAAUGGGAAACUGGAUGAAAGGAACCUGAGUAGAGAGCCCACCUUGCUGACGUGGACCUCAACGAGAGGGAAAUAAGAGAGAGAGAAAACAAGCAGUGGGAGCGACUGGCAGAGGGAGAGGGAGAAGCAGGCUUCCUGCUGAACAGGGAGCCUGAUGCGGGGGCUGGAUCCCAGGACCCCUGGGAUCGCGACCUGAGCUGAAGGCAGACGCUUCACCGACUGAGCUGCCAAGAAUGCGAGCAAGCACAAGCGGGGGAGCAGCAGGAAGAGGGAGAAGGAGGCCCCCACCACCAAGCAAGGUGCCCGAUGAGGGGGACCCGAUCUCAGGACCACGGGAUGACAACCUGAGCUGAAGGCAGAUGGCCAACCGACUGAGCCACCCAGGCAUCCUGAAGUUGACCUACUGUCAGAAGACCAGAUAAGACUGGAGCAAACGAGCAAGAAGUCCUACAGCCCCACACACCGGGAGAGCUCCCCAGCACGGUCACACGCGUGCCGCCAUCUUUUGCGCAUACGGACGUAAGUGCCCGGAUGUCACUGGAUGGCGCCGUGCGCAAAAGCAGUUGAGAUCAUCCCUCUUACUUCUCCUUUCCCAACGUCCAAUCACCUGCUUCUACGUUUCAGAUCUCCACCCCCUUGUAAAAUCCAUAAAUGCUCAGCUCCCCUUGUCCUCGGGGAAGGCGGAGUUUAGAAAUUUCCUCCUUACUCCUGUAAUAAAACCCUUUAUC